This 84-nucleotide unclassified non-coding RNA is filed under the name Pseudomonas psychrophila. The record is from RNAcentral. Lineage: Bacteria; Pseudomonadati; Pseudomonadota; Gammaproteobacteria; Pseudomonadales; Pseudomonadaceae.
GGUGGGAGCGGGCUUGCUCGCGAUGCUAGCAAUGGGGUUUGUCUGACGCGCCUUGAUGCUAUCGCGAGCAAGCCCGCUCCCACA